CUCCGAGCUCCGCGGGCUCCGGUGGGGCGGUGGUGGACGGUUUGGCGCGCGAGGUGUAGAGGGGACUCUCUUCCUCCCGAAGAGUGUCCACGGGCGCUCAGUGCGUCCUCACGCACUUUCCUGCUCCAAAAAUUUGGCUAAAGUUUUGUUGGAAAGUAGCAUCCAGAUGUGGGAGAUUGUGAAAAGUCGUGCGUAGAUUUAGGAACUAGAUCCAGAAAAAAGACGAUUACUCAGGGUGGUCAACUGAAGGUGAAGUGCUGUGGCAGUGGUUCAUGCUUUCUGAUUGCUCUGUAGCAUCCUGUUGAAUGACUAUGCCACAAAACAGGGAAGGGCUGGAGUCUGCCCCACAUUGCUAACACCAUUUCCUCACCUGUUGUGCAUCCUUCAGCCUCCUCCCCUAUCACAAGCAAAGAGAAUUCGCUGGCAUCAAUGCAACCAUGUUAGAAUAAAAGCAUAUUUUAUAAAUAAA
This 469-nucleotide long non-coding RNA is filed under the name Equus asinus (donkey). RNAcentral's name for it is "lncRNA (ENSEASG00005024686.1)". Lineage: Eukaryota; Metazoa; Chordata; Mammalia; Perissodactyla; Equidae. The record is from RNAcentral.